UUGUUUGCCGCUUUGUUCGGAUAUAGUGAUGGAAUUAGAGGUAUUGGUACAUUGGCAAAUCUUCAGACUUGCACUGGUAUCUAUGCUGGUGCUGGCAUUCCUAGUGAAUUGAGUAGACGAAAAGAUGUUAGUGAAGUGUCUGAUGAUCAUGCUGGUGAGCUAUUUGCAUCCAUCAUCAAACUGGAAAACCUUGUUUCCCUGUCACUAGUUGCAGAAGAAAACUUCGGUCACACUUCUACCUGAAUUGGAACAAUUUUUUCCUCCACCUCAUCUUCAAGAGCUUAUUUUACGUGGUGGUCUAGUUGAAAUGCCCAAUUGGCUUCCUUCUGUUGAAAACCUAAC
RNAcentral lists this unclassified non-coding RNA (342 nucleotides) under Hevea brasiliensis (rubber tree). The record is from RNAcentral. Lineage: Eukaryota; Viridiplantae; Streptophyta; Magnoliopsida; Malpighiales; Euphorbiaceae.